This is a long non-coding RNA of Macrosteles quadrilineatus (aster leafhopper), 838 nucleotides long. RefSeq lists it as uncharacterized. The record is from RefSeq and is a predicted model, not a curated record. NCBI's taxonomy places the organism in Eukaryota, Metazoa, Arthropoda, Insecta, Hemiptera, Cicadellidae. The transcript has 4 exons.
CAACAUGAUAACUUAAUAACAUUAGUCCUACCAGACACUAACUUAGUUUUAUAGAUGAUCCUGGAGCAAAGGCUGUAAUUUAACCUGAACCCAAAUUGGUCUCUGUUUUAAAUAUUGUCUUGAACCAAUAAGUUAAGAGGACUAACUUUUCUGGACGACCUUGCCAUCGACAUCACUGCAGAUGAGAAAGAAAGAGAGACCAGAGUUGUGUACCUAAUUACCAUACUGCUGUGAUAAUGUUCCUUGGUCUAACCAUAACUUAAGUGAGAGCUGAAGCCUACCAGUAAAAUGGGGGUGUUGUAAUUAAUAUCCUCCGACACUGGAGGAUACAGGGGAGAGGUGUCAGAGGAAGAGGAGAUGGAUGAUGGGGCCAGUUUAAGACUAAGAUUGAAGAAAACUAACUUAUGGCCUGAUGACAGGGUGGAUGGUGAUGGAGGCAUGGAGGUUGGGGGAGAGAAGGCUGAAGAAGUGAAGACAAAUCAGUUUAGAUUCAUUAUAAUGAUUAGUUUAAUAUUUAUUUUGAAUACCCGUAUACUUUUAUAAAAAUUUUUUUCUCAUUUAGAUUAUUUAAUUAGGAAAAUUUUAUUAUUUUUAUAAAGAUGUUUUCUUAAAUUUUUAAUAUUUGUUUGUACUUCUGCCUGGUAAAAAACAAAACUGUUUAUUAUGUUUGUUAAAAUGAUUAGGCCCUACUUCCACUAAUGGACCUUGUCUUGGGUUAAAAGAGAUAUCUUGAUAUUUAACUAGCAGGGUGCCUGUUCUAUCUAUGGGCGGGGAUCGUAUAAGUCAGUUGAAACCUUCUUAUAUUUCGAUAUUUGGUAAAUUAAUCAUUUCCAACUUU